RNAcentral lists this ribosomal RNA (253 nucleotides) under uncultured bacterium. RNAcentral's name for it is "partial 16S ribosomal RNA". It matches the Rfam family "Bacterial small subunit ribosomal RNA", at positions 524 to 776 of the family's 1533-position model. The record is from RNAcentral.
UACGUAGGGUGCGAGCGUUGUCCGGAAUUACUGGGCGUAAAGAGCUUGUAGGUGGUUUGUCGCGUUGUUCGUGAAAUCUCACGGCUUAACUGUGAGCGUGCGGGCGAUACGGGCAGACUAGAGUACUGCAGGGGAGACUGGAAUUCCUGGUGUAGCGGUGGAAUGCGCAGAUAUCAGGAGGAACACCAGUGGCGAAGGCGAGUCUCUGGGAUGAUGCUGACGCUGAGGCGCGAAAGCCAGGGGAGCAAACGGG